Molecule: ribosomal RNA, 467 nt
Filed under: uncultured bacterium
Lineage: Bacteria
Description: partial 16S ribosomal RNA
Rfam family: Bacterial small subunit ribosomal RNA
Source: RNAcentral
AACGAACGCUGGCGGCAUGCCUAACACAUGCAAGUCGAGCGGCAGCGCGAGUAGCUUACUACUUGGCGGCGAGCGGCGGACGGCUGAGUGACGCGUGGGAACAUACCCCAAAGUGAGGGAUAACUGCCCGAAAGGGUGGCUAAUACCGCAUAUGAUCUUCGGAUUAAAGGAUUUAUCCGCUUUGGGAAUGGCCUGCGUAUGAUUAGAUAGUUGGUGAGGUAAUGGCUCACCAAGUCAACGAUCAUUAACUGGUUUGAGAGGAUGAUCAGCCAGACUGGGACUGAGACACGGCCCAGACUCCUACGGGAGGCAGCAGUGAGGAAUCUUCCACAAUGGGCGAAAGCCUGAUGGAGCAACGCCGCGUGAAGGAUGAAGGCCCUCGGGUCGUAAACUUCUUUUAUAAGUGAAGAAUAUGACGGUAACUUAUGAAUAAGCACCGGCUAACUACGUGCCAGCAGCCGCGGUAA